Molecule: unclassified non-coding RNA, 240 nt
Filed under: uncultured fungus
Lineage: Eukaryota; Fungi
Description: sequence contains ITS2
Rfam family: 5.8S ribosomal RNA (bases 1-52)
Source: RNAcentral
AACGCACAUUGCGCCCCUUGGUAUUCCGAGGGGCAUGCCUGUUCGAGCGUCAUUAUAACCACUCAAGCCUCGGCUUGGUAUUGGGGUUCGCGGUCUCGCGGCCCUUAAAACUAGUGGCGGUGCCAUCUGGCUUCUAAGCGUAGUAAUUCUCUCGCUACAGGGUCUAGGUGGUUACUUGCCAAAACCCCCCUAUUUUCUAUGGUUGACCUCGGAUCAGGUAGGGAUACCCGCUGAACUUAA